GGUGUAAACUCUAGAAAUCCAGGUUAAAUUCAUGUAGCGAUCAUAUUGAACUGGAAUCUGGAAAGCUGUUGAGGAAUGGUGGAUAUAACAGGUCCAUAUCUCUGCACAUUGUCAUAGAGUUCAAACAAUGGAACAGCAAGAAGUUUUAAAUUUUUGGGUACAGCAAAGUACUCUCUUUCAGAUAAGUGAACAAGGAAAAGCUUCUUGCACUCCUUAGGCUUUGUUAUGUGGGGUGGGCAAUAUGGAUACAUGAUGGUCUCAAAGUUUGGCCUCCACCAAAUGGCCACACAUUCACCAAUCUGCCAAUCUGGCACCAGAGCAGCAGAAUUAGCACCAAGUUUGCUGGUCAGUUUUCUUUUCAAACCCUCAAUUUCAUUCUCUCCUGGCUUUAGACGUCCACCUGGCAGUUUGCAGAAUGUGUUUCCAAUUUGCAGAAGAAGUAUGUGAGGAUGAUUAUGCUCCUGUACCAGCAAAAUUGCUUCGACACUUGUUCUCAUCCCUUCUUUCAUAUAGUUGACUUUCAUACGAGCAAGACGAUCAGCUACGGAGGUAUCUUUCUCCAUUUUUGGCUCUUUAGUGCCGAAUGUGUAGCUCGACAGAGGAUAGGUGUUCACCACCGAUGAGUUCACCAUCUUUUUCUUUUUCUCCGCCUCUGCCCCGUAACCAGAUUAAAGCUUUAGUGAUCUAUCUUCUCUCUCUCUAAAUUGGAGAGUCCCUCCAGGUAAGAUUUUCAGCAGCAAGAGCCAGAACAAAAACAGGGCGAG
This 764-nucleotide unclassified non-coding RNA is filed under the name Hevea brasiliensis (rubber tree). The record is from RNAcentral. Lineage: Eukaryota; Viridiplantae; Streptophyta; Magnoliopsida; Malpighiales; Euphorbiaceae.